GGAUUAGAUACCCUGGUAGUCCACGCCGUAAACGAUGUCUACUAGCCGUUGGGGUCCUUGAGACUUUAGUGGCGCAGCUAACGCACUAAGUAGACCGCCUGGGGAGUACGGCCGCAAGGUUAAAACUCAAAUGAAUUGACGGGGGCCCGCACAAGCGGUGGAGCAUGUGGUUUAAUUCGACGCAACGCGAAGAACCUUACCAAGCCUUGACAUCCUGCGAACUUUCUAGAGAUAGAUUGGUGCCUUCGGGAGCGCAGUGACAGGUGCUGCAUGGCCGUCGUCAGCUCGUGCUG
Molecule: ribosomal RNA, 293 nt
Filed under: uncultured bacterium
Lineage: Bacteria
Description: partial 16S ribosomal RNA
Rfam family: Bacterial small subunit ribosomal RNA
Source: RNAcentral